CGCACUGAAUCAUUAAUAGGAGAAAUAGCAGAUUACUGUCCAGGGUUUGCUCAACAAGGCUUCUCUUUUGUAAAACCAUGGAAAUCCCAACACCCUGCUUGGGCUUUCCAGGAAAUAUGCCAAAAUACAACUAAAAGUAUACAUGCCUCAGUUCACCCUACAACAAUAGACCUCUGGUUUUUCUUUGCUUUAUUCUGUACUCAGAGAAAAUCACAACUGGUCUUUCUUUGCGCUAUU
RNAcentral lists this unclassified non-coding RNA (237 nucleotides) under Hevea brasiliensis (rubber tree). Lineage: Eukaryota; Viridiplantae; Streptophyta; Magnoliopsida; Malpighiales; Euphorbiaceae. The record is from RNAcentral.